UUCCUCAAAUAUCAUGCUUUUGACGGGAUGUGGUAGCUCACUUGGUAAGGACCUUGUGGGCCAAUUGUCAUGCUCACGGGUUCGACGCCAAGCGGAGGCGAACUACCCAAUUCUGUCAUCAAAUGCGGUACUGGGUGUUGGGCCUUGUCCCCAGCCCAGGUAAAGCCCUCCCGGGUGAAGUGGACCGCUGCCUAACCGGGCCCAGGGGAAUGACCCACGUAAGUGGGGAACCCCUGGAUUAUCAAAAAAAAAAAAAAAAAAAAAAAAAAAAAACU
This is a long non-coding RNA of Brassica napus (rape), 275 nucleotides long. RefSeq lists it as uncharacterized. The record is from RefSeq and is a predicted model, not a curated record. The transcript is spliced from 4 exons. Lineage: Eukaryota; Viridiplantae; Streptophyta; Magnoliopsida; Brassicales; Brassicaceae.